GCUGGGCAUGGUGGUGCAUGCCUGUAAUCCCAGCUACUCAGGAGGCUGAGGCAGGAGAAUCACUUGAACCCAGGAGGUGGAGGUUGCAGCGAGCCAAGAUCACGCCACUGCACUCCAGCCUGGGUGACAGAGUGAGACUCCGUUUCAA
Molecule: unclassified non-coding RNA, 148 nt
Organism: Pongo abelii (Sumatran orangutan)
Lineage: Eukaryota; Metazoa; Chordata; Mammalia; Primates; Hominidae
Rfam family: Metazoan signal recognition particle RNA
About the family: The signal recognition particle (SRP) is a universally conserved ribonucleoprotein. It is involved in the co-translational targeting of proteins to membranes.
Source: Ensembl